This 253-nucleotide ribosomal RNA is filed under the name uncultured bacterium. RNAcentral describes it as "partial 16S ribosomal RNA". It matches the Rfam family "Bacterial small subunit ribosomal RNA", at positions 524 to 776 of the family's 1533-position model. The record is from RNAcentral.
UACAGAGGUCCCGAGCGUUGUUCGGAUUCACUGGGCGUAAAGGGCGCGUAGGCGGUGUGUCAAGUCAGGCGUGAAAGCCCCGGGCUCAACCUGGGAACCGCGCUUGAGACUGGCACGCUAGAGUUCGGGAGAGGAUGGUGGAAUUCCCAGUGUAGAGGUGAAAUUCGUAGAUAUUGGGAAGAACACCGAUGGCGAAGGCAGCCAUCUGGACCGACACUGACGCUGAGGCGCGAAAGCGUGGGGAGCAAACAGG